RNAcentral lists this ribosomal RNA (253 nucleotides) under uncultured bacterium. Its description in RNAcentral is "partial 16S ribosomal RNA". It matches the Rfam family "Bacterial small subunit ribosomal RNA", at positions 524 to 776 of the family's 1533-position model. The record is from RNAcentral.
UACGUAGGGUGCGAGCGUUGUCCGGAAUUAUUGGGCGUAAAGAGCUCGUAGGCGGUUUGUUGCGUCUAUCGUGAAAACCUGCAGCUUAACUGUGGGCUUGCGGUGGAUACGGGCAGACUUGAGUUCGGUAGGGGAGACUGGAAUUCCUGGUGUAGCGGUGAAAUGCGCAGAUAUCAGGAGGAACACCUAUUGCGAAGGCAGCUCGCUGGGACGUAACUGACGCUGAGACGCGAAAGCGUGGGGAGCAAACAGG